CGAGAUUAAACCAGAUCACACCGGUUCAGUCAAACUCCAGGAACUCAUGAGUCACGUUACUCACUAUUAAUAAUAAUAACUCACAAACAAAAGCUGCAUGAUUGUGAACAGAUGCGUUUGCAAACACAAGACCAAUAUGUUUAUUUCAGUGACUGGAUUAAGUUGUUGUGUUAUUGUUUUACUGUCUCUGCUGUUAAAGCAACACUACACAGCUCUACAUGAGAACAGAACACGGCACGGUGUUUGAACUGGCGCCACCUGCUGGACGACACGCAGAUCAAAGCGCAGUUCCGCUUCCGGCUUCAGCGGACCCGAUGCUGAUGAGUGUGUCACGUGGCCGUCCGAAGGUCAUCGUUGGUGUCUGGGCUUCAGGACAGGACUGUGAUCUGAGAGACAUCAGAGCUGUCUGCGCAUCUGCACUCCUCCCCGUGGACUCCAGGGGUCGCUGUCGCCACCCAUAAGAGCUUCAGCAGCUCCGCACCUGAGGAUGCAUUUCUGCAUCUGCUCCUGAAAGUGAAAGCGUCUUGCUUCGAUCUCUGCCAAAGUCUGUCUGACCAUCACCGAACUUAGACGUGUCCUCAGUUGAGUGUCUCUCCCGCGGGACACAGAGGUGGGACAUAUGGACUCAGCCAAUUGUGGCAGUUCUUUU
Cyprinus carpio carpio is the source of this 649-nucleotide long non-coding RNA. Lineage: Eukaryota; Metazoa; Chordata; Actinopteri; Cypriniformes; Cyprinidae. The record is from Ensembl.